GGGAAGAAGGCCUUCGGGUCGUAAACCACUUUUGCACGGGACGAAAAGGGAUAUCGAACAAAUAUCCCCGAUGACGGUACCGUGAGAAUAAGCCACGGCUAACUCUGUGCCAGCAGCCGCGGUAAGACAGAGGUGGCAAGCGUUGUUCGGAAUUACUGGGCGUAAAGAGUCUGUAGGUGGUUUGUCAAGUCUUUGGUGAAAGGCCGUAGCUUAACUAUGGGAAUGCCAAAGAGACUGGCAGGCUGGAGGCUGGGAGAGGGAAGCGGAAUUUCUGGUGUAGCGGUGAAAUGCGUAGAUAUCAGAAGGAAGGCCGGUGGCGAAGGCGGCUUCCUGGAACAGUCCUGACACUGAGAGACGAAAGCGUGGGGAGCAAACAGGAUUAGAUACCCUGGUAGUCCACGCCCUAAACGAUGGGUACUAAGUGUGGAGGGGUUAAACCCUCCGUAGCCGCAGCAAACGCAG
Molecule: ribosomal RNA, 462 nt
Filed under: uncultured bacterium
Lineage: Bacteria
Description: bacterial SSU rRNA
Rfam family: Bacterial small subunit ribosomal RNA
Source: RNAcentral